CCGCCUCGGCCGCCCCGGGAGCGGCACCGACCCGUCUGGGACACCGGGCCCCGGGAAUCGGAACACGGUAACGAAAAGAGCCCCAACAGAGAUGCCUUAAAUGAAGUUUUCUCUCACUCUUCAGCAGUGUGAUAUGAACCCAAGUACUCCACACUUCCAAAUUCAGAAAAACAGGCACCUGCUGUAAUGAUCCACUUGUGCUCAGUAGUGUUACAGUAUUUCUUUUGCUUGUACCCUCUACAAAGUGCAGUAAUUUGUUUUCUGCAGGUUGAUGGCUGUGAGAGCACUGAGAUGUUCCCCUCACCUAGAAGAUCUGAAAGGGUUUCGCGCCAUCUCGGGCGGAUUUCCUGUGAGGUAACAAAUCUUAACUGAUUUACAAUCCCAACCUCCCGUCUACAGCCCACCAGAAUGUAGCUAGCUUCAAGAGAAUGCGGCAAAUUAACCGCCAACAGACGAGACACUUCCAGGAGGGCAGGGAUCAUGUCUACUCGCUGUACUGUCCUCUCCCGAGCACGGUGCUGUACACAGAUUACAGAAUUUUAUUUUUUAAGAAAUCUGUUUUGAUGCCUUGUCUGGAGAAGACGUGGAUUUGGAGGCAUAGCGGAAGAUGCUGGGGGAGGAGAUGGAAAUGAAUCCCCAAAGACCCCUUAAGUAUGCAAUAAAAGAGAAAAUCCUUCAGGACUAAGUUAAGGUUUGGCUUCUGAAUUACAGAUUUCAUUUUAAAAGGACUGUAUUUUAUUAAAUAUACUAUUCUGUUUAAAUAAAUGUGCAUAAAAUAAAAAAAACUUUUCUUGCAAGCGAGUAAACGUAGGUCCACAUUUCAUCUUUUUUUUAUUUUAUUUAAUAAAAGAUCAAGAGUCCUGUUUGCACACCAUAUGUCCUGCUUAAUAAUGGUACUUGGUCAUGAAGACAAAGAAUAAUAAAUAGACCACCUUUCUGCCUAUUUUCUCAGUGGUUUCUCUGAGCAC
Long non-coding RNA from Tachyglossus aculeatus (Australian echidna), 968 nucleotides. RefSeq lists it as uncharacterized. Lineage: Eukaryota; Metazoa; Chordata; Mammalia; Monotremata; Tachyglossidae. The transcript is spliced from 4 exons. The record is from RefSeq and is a predicted model, not a curated record.